RNAcentral lists this transfer RNA (85 nucleotides) under Xenopus laevis (African clawed frog). It matches the Rfam family "tRNA". Rfam says of the family: Transfer RNA (tRNA) molecules are approximately 80 nucleotides in length. Their secondary structure includes four short double-helical elements and three loops (D, anti-codon, and T loops). Lineage: Eukaryota; Metazoa; Chordata; Amphibia; Anura; Pipidae. The record is from Rfam by way of RNAcentral.
CCUUCGAUAGCUCAGCUGGUAGAGCGGAGGACUGUAGAAGAAAUCAGUAAUCCUUAGGUCGCUGGUUCGAUUCCGGCUCGAAGGA